RNAcentral lists this ribosomal RNA (858 nucleotides) under Lactarius fallax. RNAcentral describes it as "eukaryotic LSU rRNA". It matches the Rfam family "Eukaryotic large subunit ribosomal RNA", at positions 84 to 919 of the family's 3401-position model. The record is from RNAcentral. Lineage: Eukaryota; Fungi; Basidiomycota; Agaricomycetes; Russulales; Russulaceae.
UAACUGCGAGUGAAGCGGGAAAAGCUCAAAUUUAAAAUCUGGCGGUCCUUGGCUGUCCGAGUUGUAAUUUAGAGAAGCGUCUUCCGCGCUGGACCGUGCACAAGUCUCCUGGAAUGGAGCGUCGUAGAGGGUGAGAAUCCCGUCUUUGGCAUGGAUGCCCGGUGCUUCUGUGAUGCGCUCUCAAAGAGUCGAGUUGUUUGGGAAUGCAGCUCAAAAUGGGUGGUGAACUCCAUCUAAAGCUAAAUAUUGGCGAGAGACCGAUAGCGAACAAGUACCGUGAGGGAAAGAUGAAAAGCACUUUGGAAAGAGAGUGAAACAGUACGUGAAAUUGUUGAAAGGGAAACGCUUGAAGUCAGUCGCGUCGUCCGAGACUCAGCCUUGCCUCGGCUUGGUGUACUUCUCGGCUCGACGGGUCAGCAUGAAUUUUGCACCUCGGAUAAUGGCAAGGGAAAGGUGGCACCUUUGCGGGUGUGUUAUAGUCUCGUGUCGCAUGCGAGGGGUGAGAUUGAGGAACUCAGCGUGCGCCUUUGGUGUCGGGGCUUCGGCCCACGUAACGCGCUUAGGAUGCUGGCGUAAUGGCUUUAAACGACCCGUCUUGAAACACGGACCAAGGAGUCCAACAUGCCCGCGAGUGUUCGGGUGGAAAACCCGUGCGCGUAAUAAAAGUGAAAGUUGGGACCUCUGUCGUGGAGGGCACCGACGCCCGGACCAGACCUUCUGUGACGGAUCUGCGGUAGAGCGUGUAUGUUGGGACCCGAAAGAUGGUGAACUAUGCCUGAAUAGGGUGAAGCCAGAGGAAACUCUGGUGGAGGCUCGUAGCGAUUCUGACGUGCAAAUCGAUCGUCAAAUUUGGGUAUA